This 459-nucleotide ribosomal RNA is filed under the name uncultured bacterium. RNAcentral's name for it is "partial 16S ribosomal RNA". It matches the Rfam family "Bacterial small subunit ribosomal RNA", at positions 338 to 795 of the family's 1533-position model. The record is from RNAcentral.
CCUACGGGGGGCAGCAGUGAGGAAUAUUGGUCAUUGGACGCAAGUCUGAACCAGCCAUGCCGCGUGCAGGAUGACGGCUCUAUGAGUUGUAAACUGCUUUUGUACUAGGGUAAACCCCGAUACGUGUAUCGGUUUGAAAGUAUCGUACGAAUAAGGAUCGGCUAACUCCGUGCCAGCAGCCGCGGUAAUACGGAGGAUCCGAGCGUUAUCCGGAUGUAUUGGGGUUAAAGUGUGCGUAGGCGGAAUGCCAAGUCAGCGGUAAAAUCGCGGGGCUCAACCUCGCUCCGCCGGUGAAACUGGCGUUCUUGAGUGGGCGAGAAGUAUGCGGAAUGCGUGGUGUAGCGGUGAAAUGCAUAGAUAUCACGCAGAACUCCGAUUGCGAAGGCAGCAUACCGGCGCCCAACUGACGCUGAAGCACGAAAGCGUGGGUAUCGAACAGGAUUAGAUACCCCUGUAGUC